This 347-nucleotide long non-coding RNA is filed under the name Mustela putorius furo (domestic ferret). RNAcentral describes it as "lncRNA (ENSMPUG00000027281.1)". The record is from RNAcentral. Lineage: Eukaryota; Metazoa; Chordata; Mammalia; Carnivora; Mustelidae.
GUGCAAUAGCACUUACUAGCACUAGUAGUGCUAGUAGCACUAGAAGUGCGAUAGGUGGGUUAUAGGGUCAGUCUAUUUUUAACUUUUUGAGGAACUUCCAUACUGUUUUCCAGAGUGGCUUCACCAGUUUGCAUUCCCAUCAACAGUGCAAGAAGAUUCCCCUUUCUCCACAUCCUCACCAACACCUGUUGUUUCCAGUGUUAAUCUUAGCCAUUUGGACAGUGUAAAUUUGCUCAGAGGAAUACCUGCACGCAAGACUGUACAGAGUUUGAAAGAUGUUAAGAGCCUUAAGUGUAGCUAUCAGUACACAAUAAUUCAUUUAUUUAACACCUAACUGGAGAUCUACU